GGGCAACAUCCCUGCGGUUGCUCGAACGAUGGCCGAGCGGUGGGCGCGGGGGAGGCAAACGCCAGGGUGGGCCAGCGUCCUGCAGCAGAUCCAGCAUUGAUUCGCUCAAUGAUGCUACGGUUGGAGAUUUGCUGACAGAUCUGUUGGGAAGAAGAGGCCAUCAUUCUAGAAGCUUCCAGGCCACUGGCUGGCGCUAUCUUCACCCGGUGCCUCUGGAGGUGGUCGGUCAGCACAGGCUAGCUUAUGCCAUGGUAACAAGAGCAUCUCCG
RNAcentral lists this long non-coding RNA (269 nucleotides) under Equus caballus (horse). Its description in RNAcentral is "lncRNA (ENSECAG00000042871.2)". The record is from RNAcentral. Lineage: Eukaryota; Metazoa; Chordata; Mammalia; Perissodactyla; Equidae.